GUCUUAUUGAAUUAAAUAAAUAAUAAGUCUAUUCUGCCCAUUGAAAAAAAAAUUAAAAGGCUGCGGUAUUUUAACUGUACAAAGGUAGCAAAAUAAAUAGUUUUUUAAUUGAAAACUUGAAUGAAAGAGUUAAUAAGAUAUUAAUUGUCUCGAUUUUAUAAAAAUUAAUUUAAAUUAAAAGUUAAAAUGCUUUUAUAAAUUUAUUAGACGAUAAGACCCUAAGAAUUUAAUUAUAUAUGUUUAAUAUAAAUUAUAAUUAUAAUAUUAAAAAAUUUAAUAAUUUUAUUGGGAGGAUAAUUAAAUUAUUUAACUUUAAUUAAUAAAAAAUAUUGAUAAAUAAAAAUAAUGAUUAAUAUAAAGAUUAUAAGAAUUAAUUACCUUAGGGAUAACAGCGUAAUAAUUUUGGAGAGUUCAUAUUGAUAAAAUUGUUUACGACCUCGAUGUUGAAUUAAAAUAAAAAUUAAAUGAAGAUAUUUAAAUUUUUAGUCUGUUCGACUAUUAAAAUUUUACAU
Molecule: ribosomal RNA, 512 nt
Filed under: Synoeca virginea
Lineage: Eukaryota; Metazoa; Arthropoda; Insecta; Hymenoptera; Vespidae
Description: partial 16S ribosomal RNA
Source: RNAcentral